RNAcentral lists this unclassified non-coding RNA (215 nucleotides) under Hevea brasiliensis (rubber tree). Lineage: Eukaryota; Viridiplantae; Streptophyta; Magnoliopsida; Malpighiales; Euphorbiaceae. The record is from RNAcentral.
GCGGUUCUUCACCGCGGUCCGCACCACGGGAAUCUAUUGCCGGCCGGUGUGCCCGGCCCAGCCCAGAUCCGCCAACGUCUGCUACUUUCCAUCCGCGGCCGCAGCCGAGCAUGCAGGCUUCCGGCCUUGUCUUCGCUGCCGUCCCGAGACAGCACCUUUCAGUCCGGCGUGGGAAGGCACUCGCGCCACCGUCGGCAGGGCGCUGCGGCUGAUCA